ACGCCGUAAACGAUGAAUACUAGUUGUGGGAGGUAUCGACUCCUUCCGUGACGACGUUAACACAUUAAGUAUUCCGCCUGGGGAGUACGGCCGCAAGGUUGAAACUCAAAGAAAUUGACGGGGACCCGCACAAGCAGCGGAGCAUGUGGUUUAAUUCGACGCAACGCGAAAAACCUUACCAGGGUUUGACAUCGUCUGACCGUCUUAGAGAUAAGAUUUUCCCUUCGGGGACAGAUAGACAGGUGGUGCAUGGUUGUCGUCAGCUCGUGUCGUGAGAUGUUAGGUUAAGUCCUGCAACGAGCGCAACCCCUAUAUACAGUUGCCAAUAUUUAGUUAGGAACUCUGUAUAGACUGCCGUGGUUAACACGGAGGAGGGUGGGGAUGACGUCAAAUCAUCACGCCCCUUACAUCCUGGGCUACACACGUGCUACAAUGGCUAUUACAAAGAGCUGCAAAACCGUAAGGUCAAGCGAAUCUCAUAAAGAUAGUCUCAGUUCAGAUUGUGGGCUGCAACCCGCCCACAUGAAGUCGGAGUUGCUAGUAAUCCCGAAUCAGCAUGUCGGGGUGAAUGCGUUCCCGGGUCUUGUACACACCGCCCGUCACGCCAUGGGAGCCAGGAGUACCCAAAGUCAGUGGCCUAACCGCAAGGAGGGAGCUGCCUAAGGUAAUACUGGUGACUGGGGUG
RNAcentral lists this ribosomal RNA (685 nucleotides) under uncultured equine intestinal eubacterium sp. DL28. RNAcentral's name for it is "bacterial SSU rRNA". It matches the Rfam family "Bacterial small subunit ribosomal RNA", at positions 797 to 1482 of the family's 1533-position model. The record is from RNAcentral.